This 432-nucleotide ribosomal RNA is filed under the name uncultured bacterium. RNAcentral describes it as "partial 16S ribosomal RNA". It matches the Rfam family "Bacterial small subunit ribosomal RNA", at positions 29 to 507 of the family's 1533-position model. The record is from RNAcentral.
ACGAACGCUGGCGGCAUGCCUAACACAUGCAAGUCGAACGAGACCUUCGGGUCUAGUGGCGCACGGGUGCGUAACGCGUGGGAACCUGCCCUUAGGCUCGGAAUAACUCCCCGAAAGGGGUGCUAAUACCGGAUAAUGUCUUCGGACCAAAGAUUUAUCGCCUUUGGAUGGGCCCGCGUUGGAUUAGCUAGUUGGUAGGGUAAAAGCCUACCAAGGCGACGAUCCAUAGCUGGUCUGAGAGGAUGAUCAGCCACACUGGGACUGAGACACGGCCCAGACUCCUACGGGGGGCAGCAGUGGGGAAUAUUGGACAAUGGGCGAAAGCCUGAUCCAGCAAUGCCGCGUGAGUGAUGAAGGCCUUAGGGUUGUAAAGCUCUUUUACCCGGGAUGAUAAUGACAGUACCGGGAGAAUAAGCUCCGGCUAACUCCGUG